RNAcentral lists this ribosomal RNA (433 nucleotides) under uncultured bacterium. RNAcentral's name for it is "partial 16S ribosomal RNA". It matches the Rfam family "Bacterial small subunit ribosomal RNA", at positions 29 to 507 of the family's 1533-position model. The record is from RNAcentral.
AACGAACGCUGGCGGCAUGCCUAACACAUGCAAGUCGAACGAGACCUUCGGGUCUAGUGGCGCACGGGUGCGUAACGCGUGGGAACCUGCCCUUCGGUUCGGAAUCACUCCCCGAAAGGGGUGCUAAUACCGGAUAAUGUCUUCGGACCAAAGAUUUAUCGCCUUUGGCUGGGCCCGCGUUGGAUUAGCUAGUUGGUAGGGUAAAAGCCUACCAAGGCGACGAUCCAUAGCUGGUCUGAGAGGAUGAUCAGCCACACUGGGACUGAGACACGGCCCAGACUCCUACGGGAGGCAGCAGUGGGGAAUAUUGGACAAUGGGCGAAAGCCUGAUCCAGCAAUGCCGCGUGAGUGAUGAAGGCCUUAGGGUUGUAAAGCUCUUUUACCCGGGAUGAUAAUGACAGUACCGGGAGAAUAAGCUCCGGCUAACUCCGUG